ACUCGAACAUCGGUUCCGAAAC
RNAcentral lists this microRNA (22 nucleotides) under Blattella germanica (German cockroach). RNAcentral describes it as "Bge-Novel-2-P3_5p* (star (passenger))". The record is from RNAcentral. Lineage: Eukaryota; Metazoa; Arthropoda; Insecta; Blattodea; Blattellidae.